Vitis riparia (riverbank grape) is the source of this 2092-nucleotide RNA transcript. It is a transcript of the gene named tRNA(His) guanylyltransferase 1, with no coding region annotated. The transcript is spliced from 14 exons. NCBI's taxonomy places the organism in Eukaryota, Viridiplantae, Streptophyta, Magnoliopsida, Vitales, Vitaceae. The record is from RefSeq and is a predicted model, not a curated record.
UUUUACGGACACCCAAAUCAAAGAUAGUUCAGACCGGGAGCUUUUAUAUGCGAAUGAACAAAAUUUUGUUAAUGGAAAAGUGGUUUUGAGAACUGUCUUGGAAAUCUUCGUCUAACACGCCCUAAUUCUCUAAAUUAUUAGCCUUCAAUUUCUUAAUUGCAUGUUGUAACAUUUCAGUUUUUGUGACCAUAAUAAUCGGUAUUCGAAUCAUUGGGUUAAAGGGGAAAAUUUGUUGAUUUUCUAGAGUUGAAAUCGAGCGUUCACAUUGUGUUCUGAGUUUCAACUGUAUUGUAUCCACCAAGUGUUCGGUGAUUGUUCCGUGAGAAGCCAAGAGCAGAAGGAGGAGUUCAUUGGAGAGUGGGACAUGGCGAACAGUAAAUACGAGUACGUGAAGUCAUUCGAAGUGGAAGACGAAGUCAUGCCACCCAACCUGAUCGUUGUUCGAAUCGACGGCCGCGGUUUUCGCAGAUUUUCUGAAGUUCAUGAGUUUGCGAAACCGAAUGAUGAGAGAGCUUUGAAUUUGAUGAACUCAUGUGCAGCUGCUAUGUUAGAGGAAUAUCCAGACAUAGUAUUCUCAUUUGGAUUCAGUGAUGAGUACAGUUUUGUUUUCAAGAAGACAACCAAGUUCUACCAGAGGCGUGCCAGCAAAAUAGUAUCCCUUGUUGUCUCUUUCUUCACCUCCAUAUAUACCACAAAAUGGAAAGAAUUCUUCCCUCAUAAGGAGUUAAGGUAUCCCCCAUCAUUUCGUGCAUGGGUCAUAUGCUGUGCAUCAAUGGAAGUUCUUCAAACGUAUCUUGCAUGGAGACAAAAUGAUUGUCACAUCAAUAACCAGUAUAAUACAUGCUUCUGGAUGUUGGUUAAAUGUGGAAAGACUGAAGAGGAAGCACAAGAAGUCUUAAAGGGGACUCAUAAACAAGAAAAAAAUGAGCUGCUUUUUCAACAGUUCGGGAUCAACUACAAAAAUCUUCCUUCCAUGUUUCGUCAGGGGUCUUGUGUUUGCAAGACACAGGUUGAAGAUAUUGUGAAGUACAGUGAAAAUGGGACACCUGUUAAAAGAUUGCGGAGAAAGCCAAUCAUAGUUCAUUCAGAUAACAUAGCUGCAAGAAGCUUCUGGAAUGAGCACCCUUUUCUCCUCAAGGAGCUGGGUGAUUUCAGAGAGGACAUUAACAACAUUAAACCUGAGUAUGUUAAGUCCUUCCAAUUUGAAAACAAGUUGAUGCCACUUACUUGGAUUGUGGUUAGAAUCGAUGGCUGCCAUUUUCAUAGAUUUUCUGAAGUUCAUGAAUUUGAGAAGCCGAAUGAUGAGCAAGCUCUGAACCUUAUGAAUUCAUGUGCAGUGGCUGUGUUAGAGCAGUUUAAAGAUGUCAUCUUCUCAUAUGGGGUCAGUGAUGAAUACAGCUUUGUUCUGAAAAAGGAUUCUCAGUUCUAUCAAAGGCGUGGCAGCGAAAUAGUUACUGCUCUUGUAUCAUACUUCACUUCCAUUUAUGUAAUGAAAUGGAAAGAAUUCUUCCCACAGAAAGAGUUGAAGUACCCGCCUUGUUUUGAUGGACGGGCUGUACUGUAUCCAACAUCUGAGAUUCUCCGAGAUUAUUUGACAUGGAGACAAGUUGAUUGCCACAUUAACAAUCAAUAUAAUACCUGUUUCUGGAUGCUUGUUAAGUCUGGAAAGAGCAAAAGUGAAGCUCAAGCCUAUUUAAAGGGUACUCAAGCACGAGAGAAAAAUGAAGUUCUUCUCCAGCAAUUUGGUAUUGACUACAACACGUUGCCACUCAUGUUCCGUCAAGGAUCCUCUGCCUUCUGGAACGAGGAAGAGAAGACUGGGAUGUAUGAGAACGGAGCUUCAGCUGAAAAAUCUGGGAAGAAAGUUGUUGUGGAACACUGUAAUAUAAUUGAGCAAAGUUUCUGGGAAGCGCACCCAAGCAUCCUCAUUGAGAAGCCGCACAUGGUUUAAAGCAUUUCUGGUUGUCAAAACCUGUAAGUGACUUAUGAUAUAUAAAGUUACUACAGCAUUUUGAUUAACUCCUCAACUUGAAGGUCCACCUGAGGAAACAGAGUCCGGUGGAUGGAGAAUGAAUUCUGAUGCCAGAGAAGA